GCUUGAUCCAGAAGCUGAGUAUUGCUUGAUUCUAGGCCUUCAUCUGGAAUUGCUAGUGUGCAGUAAAGAGCAUGGCUGUGCAUCUGGGAGACUGGAAUGGCCAGGAAGUGUUCAGAAUUUGACCAAGCGCCGGAGUGAAGUGGCCGCUUGAUUAAAGCCCCUGAAACUGCUGUUGUUCUCUCAGCUGCCCAGUGGGAUGAAAGGACCGUGUGUCACUAUGGACACGGCGUGGCAAAGCAAGGAUCCAUAUGCCCUGCAGGAAGUGUGGUGCUUUUCAUUUUCUUUAAGCUGAGAGACAAUCUCUUCCUGGCCAGCUGGCAAGCACAGGG
This 329-nucleotide long non-coding RNA is filed under the name Gallus gallus (chicken). Lineage: Eukaryota; Metazoa; Chordata; Aves; Galliformes; Phasianidae. The record is from RNAcentral.